GACAGCAGGCCCGCCGGUGGCCCAACAAACUCUUGUUUUUACCGAGUAACAUCUGAGUAAAGCUUCUAAAUAAAUUAAAACUUUCAACAACGGAUCUCUUGGUUCUGGCAUCGAUGAAGAACGCAGCGAAAUGCGAUAAGUAAUGUGAAUUGCAG
RNAcentral lists this ribosomal RNA (155 nucleotides) under Cytospora chrysosperma. RNAcentral's name for it is "Valsa sordida 5.8S ribosomal RNA". The stretch from base 79 to 155 matches the Rfam family "5.8S ribosomal RNA", at positions 1 to 77 of the family's 154-position model. Lineage: Eukaryota; Fungi; Ascomycota; Sordariomycetes; Diaporthales; Cytosporaceae. The record is from RNAcentral.